AGAGGGUGCGAGCGUUAAUCGGAAUUACUGGGCGUAAAGAGUGCGUAGGUGGAUUAUCAAGUUGACUGUGAAAUUUCUGGGGCUUAACCUGGACAGGUCAGCCAAUACUGGUAGUCUAGAGUGCAGUAGAGGGUAGUGGAAUUUCCGGUGUAGCGGUGAAAUGCGUAGAGAUCGGAAGGAACACCAGUGGCGAAGGCGACUACCUGGACUGACACUGACACUGAGGCACGAAAGCGUGGGGAGCAAACAGGAUUAGAUACCCUGGUAGUCCACGCCGUAAACGAUGACAACUAACUGUUAGAAGCAUUUAGCUUUUAGUAGUGUAGCUAACGCGCUAAGUUGUCCGCCUGGGGAGUACGGCCGCAAGGCUA
RNAcentral lists this ribosomal RNA (371 nucleotides) under uncultured organism. RNAcentral describes it as "partial 16S ribosomal RNA". It matches the Rfam family "Bacterial small subunit ribosomal RNA", at positions 527 to 896 of the family's 1533-position model. The record is from RNAcentral.